Small nuclear RNA from Mustela putorius furo (domestic ferret), 103 nucleotides. NCBI's taxonomy places the organism in Eukaryota, Metazoa, Chordata, Mammalia, Carnivora, Mustelidae. The record is from Ensembl.
GUGCUCGCUGUGGCACCUACACUAAAAAUGGAACGAUACAGCGAAGAUGAGCAUGGAUGCAUGCAAGGAUGACAUGGAAAUUUAUGAAGUGUCCCAUAUUUUU